CCUACGGGGUGCAGCAGUGGGGGAUAUUGGACAAUGGGGGAAACCCUGAUCCAGCGACGCCGCGUGAGUGAAGAAGUAUUUCGGUAUGUAAAGCUCUAUCAGCAGGGAAGAAAGAAAUGACGGUACCUGAGUAAGAAGCCCCGGCUAACUACGUGCCAGCAGCCGCGGUAAUACGUAGGGGGCAAGCGUUAUCCGGAAUUACUGGGUGUAAAGGGAGCGUAGACGGUUACGCAAGUCUGAAGUGAAAGCCCAAGGCUCAACCAUGGGACUGCUUUGGAAACUGUAAAACUGGAGUGCAGGAGAGGUAAGCGGAAUUCCUAGUGUAGCGGUGAAAUGCGUAGAUAUUAGGAGGAACACCAGUGGCGAAGGCGGCGUACUGGACUGUAACUGACGUUGAGGCUCGAAGGCGUGGGGAGCAAAGGGAUUAGAUACCCGAGUAGUC
Molecule: ribosomal RNA, 442 nt
Filed under: uncultured bacterium
Lineage: Bacteria
Description: partial 16S ribosomal RNA
Rfam family: Bacterial small subunit ribosomal RNA
Source: RNAcentral